Molecule: ribosomal RNA, 253 nt
Filed under: uncultured bacterium
Lineage: Bacteria
Description: partial 16S ribosomal RNA
Rfam family: Bacterial small subunit ribosomal RNA
Source: RNAcentral
UACGUAGGGCGCAAGCGUUAUCCGGAAUUAUUGGGCGUAAAGAGCGCGCAGGCGGUCGUCCAAGUCGCGUGUGAAAGCCCCCGGCUCAACUGGGGAGGGUCACGCGAUACUGGUCGACUCGAAGGCAGGAGAGGGUAGUGGAAUUCCCGGUGUAGUGGUGAAAUGCGUAGAUAUCGGGAGGAACACCAGUGGCGAAGGCGACUACCUGGCCUGUUCUUGACGCUGAGGCGCGAAAGCUAGGGGAGCAAACGGG